AAUCAACGCUGGCGGCGUGCCUCAGACAUGCAAGUCGAACGUGAAAGGCUUCUUCGGAAGCCGAGUAAAGUGGCGCACGGGUGAGUAACACGUGAGUAAUCUGCCUUCACGGUGGGGAGUACCAAUCGGAACGGUUGUUAAUACCGCAUAAUGCAGCGGCAUCAUAAGAUGACAGUUGUUAAAGACGGGGGAGGCGAAGCAAUUCGUCCU
RNAcentral lists this ribosomal RNA (210 nucleotides) under uncultured bacterium. Its description in RNAcentral is "partial 16S ribosomal RNA". It matches the Rfam family "Bacterial small subunit ribosomal RNA", at positions 32 to 218 of the family's 1533-position model. The record is from RNAcentral.